CCUCCCCCUUCAACAAACCACAGCAACAAAAAACCCACACUGCAAAAACAACUUCUCGAGAGCACGCUCACCCCACCCCUCGUCACGAGCCCCAAGACAAGCGAGCGAGAUGGCCCCGGCCUCUUCUCAGAAACGAACUCGUUGCUCUUACUGAGAACUUUGGAUGAACGGCCCCAAAUCGAGAAAGCGAUGAAUUCUAAAGCAACACUUGGGGGGUGGGGUGGCCCUGAUUAGCUACAUUUCCCAUCGUAGAUUAUUAGCUCAGUGCUGACUAGAGAACUUAUAUAUAAAUCGGUAUUAUUAACGGAUGUGGCCGAGGUGCGUGUACACUGAGCGUGCCCAUCAAGAAAGUCUUCUGAAUUUUUUUUCUCCUUGUGAUCAAAGAGUAUAAGUGCACAAUUCAUUUUUGUGUUUGAGGUAAUAGUGAGAUCUUUGUGUAUAGUCUUGUUUCAGAAACCCGAAAGAAAGGUUUAUAUAGAUUUUGCUGUCAUGAAAAGUGCUGACCAUUGUCAUGCUGACAAGCGUUUCCCCCUGUGAAUUGACUUAACCUGUUUUUCAGGAAAUCCAGUUUUUGUUUGGGAGUGUUGACUCACUGCUGUGGGAGAAAAGCAGGGUACACUUUUUUGAGCGUCUUAGUAAAUGGGAGCAUUGUUGUAUGUGUUUAUUCUGGUAUCACGUUCUUAGGCUAUUUAGUGUACAUUUAAACUGAUGCAUCUUAAUAAAAUAAAAAUUCAUGAACAUAAAUAAGGAUUAGAACACUA
Molecule: long non-coding RNA, 761 nt
Organism: Mesocricetus auratus (golden hamster)
Lineage: Eukaryota; Metazoa; Chordata; Mammalia; Rodentia; Cricetidae
Exons: 2
Source: RefSeq, a predicted model, not a curated record